RNAcentral lists this ribosomal RNA (180 nucleotides) under uncultured bacterium. Its description in RNAcentral is "partial 16S ribosomal RNA". It matches the Rfam family "Bacterial small subunit ribosomal RNA", at positions 1322 to 1500 of the family's 1533-position model. The record is from RNAcentral.
GAAGAUGGAGUUGCUAGUAAUCGCGAAUCAGAAUGUCGCGGUGAAUACGUUCCCGGGUCUUGUACACACCGCCCGUCACACCAUGAGAGUUGGCAACACCCGAAACCUGUGGGCUAACCGAAAAGGAGGCAGCAGUCUAAGGUGGGGUCAGUGAUUGGGGUGAAGUCGUAACAAGGUACC